AGUGUAUAGAGUGGCGCACGGGGUGAGUAAACACGUAAGUAAUCUACUUCGAGUGGGGAAUAACAGUCGGAAACGACUGCUAAUACCGCAUAAUGCAGCGGCAACCUAAUGGUGACAGUUGUUAAAGCAUUUAUGUGCUUGAAGAGGAGCUUGCGGCAGAUUAGCUAGUUGGUAAGGUAAUGGCUUACCAAGGCAACGAUCUGUAGCCGACCUGAGAGGGUGGUCGGUCACACUGACACUGAAUAACGGGUCAGACUCCUACGGGAGGCAGCAGUCGGGAAUUUUGGGCAAUGGGCGAAAGCCUGACCCAGCAACGCCGCGUGAAGGAUGAAGUAUUUCGGUAUGUAAACUUCGUAAGAAUGGGAAGAAUAAAUGACGGUACCAUUUGUAAGGUCCGGCUAACUACGUGCCAGCAGCCGCGGUAAUACGUAGGGACCAAGCGUUGUUCGGAUUUACUGGGCGUAAAGGGUGCGUAGGCGGUGCGUCAAGUCAGUUGUGAAANCUUAAGGCUUAACCUUAAACGGUCAACUGAUACUGNCGUGCUAGAGUGCAGAAAGGGCAAUCGGAAUNNCUUGGUGUAGCGGUGAAAU
RNAcentral lists this ribosomal RNA (590 nucleotides) under uncultured soil bacterium C078. RNAcentral's name for it is "bacterial SSU rRNA". It matches the Rfam family "Bacterial small subunit ribosomal RNA", at positions 85 to 687 of the family's 1533-position model. The record is from RNAcentral.